Long non-coding RNA from Acinonyx jubatus (cheetah), 7938 nucleotides. RefSeq lists it as uncharacterized. The record is from RefSeq and is a predicted model, not a curated record. The transcript has 2 exons. NCBI's taxonomy places the organism in Eukaryota, Metazoa, Chordata, Mammalia, Carnivora, Felidae.
CACUAGUUUGUAAGAGAAGGUCUGCUGGGAGAGGGUAGUGAAAGUCUCCAAUAUGGAAUGAAAAAAUAAAUUAUGGCUUGGAGCUUGGCUGUGAUGCUUACCGAGCCGGUGAGCAAGCACAAAGAUGGACACUGUGAUAGGAAAGGCAGAGCUGGUGUCAUUGACACCCUAUUUACUGAUUCCACAAGAGAACUAAUAAUUUAAGCUCUUAUGAACGAUUUUUUCUUACCUGGACUCAACCUAAUUUCUAUCCAGUAAAAUGCUUCUAUGCUUUAAAAAAAACUUUUUUAAUGUUUAUUUAUAUUUGACAGAAAGAGACAGAACACGAAUGGGGGAGGGGCAGAGAGAGAGGGAGACACAGACUCUGAGGUAGGCUCCAGGCUCUGGGCUGUCAGCACAGAGCCUGACAUGGGGCUCGAACUCAUGAACCGUGAGAUCAUGGCCUGAUCCAAGUCGGACGCUUAACCGACUGAGCCACCCAGGUACUCCAUUUCUUUUAAUGCUUUAAUCAUGCCCUUUUAUUAUCUUCCCUUCAGAUCUGUGAAGUAGUUCUUAAAAUCUAUAAGUCACAUAAUCCACUAUAUAUCAGUUAAAGUAUUUUCUGUUUCAGACAAAUAUUCCUUUUUGGUGGGAUUCAAAACAUUUUCAACUGCCCCUUCCCAAAGCAGAUGCACUUCUGCCAGUGAAUAUUCUUGUUAACCAUCUCGUUUUCACCACUGAUGGAACCUUGGUGAAGGUGUGUGUGAUUGAACAAACAUGUUUGCUUUUGGUUUGUAUUACUUUAUUUUGUUUAUGUUCUUUAUAAUUGGGUACUCUUUCCUUAGCACCUUUUUUUUUCUGCUUUGGAUUGUUAGGAUUGAUAAUAAGAGAAAAAAAGGUGUCGGGUAAUUUUCUAAAAAUACAUUCUAUUUUUUGAGUGGUUAUUCGGGUUUUAGUUGGUAUUCCUUUGGGCUGUAAGGUUUAUUUGGUGUCUCACUUUGUCAACAGUCCUGUUAUUACAUUUAAGCUGCUUCUUAGAGUAUACUUUCCUGUUUAGUAAAGAAAACUCACUUUAUUUCCUAAGAUGAAUUAUAAUUAGGACUGCUUGGUGCUGAGACUCUUUCUCACUUAAUACCCCUAAUGAGAUACAAAUGUUCUAAAUGUGUCCUUCUGAAUGGAUUAGAUUUUGAGAGGAAUCUACUUAUUUUAGUUAACUAAUCCCUUUGCUUUUGUAUCAUACAUCCUUAUUAGGCUCUCAUGUUUCUUUUCCAUAUGGAAUUCCUUGUGAAAUCAGACCUUAGCAAACAGUGUUAUUAACUUUCAGGGUCAGUGGUACUGAAAAUGUCAAUGAAGUUUGUUGAUUCUACAUAUGUUGUUUUUAUGGCACUCUUGCUUUUUUAUAUACUCAUGAUAAAUAUAAUUCCUUCACUAUUCUUGCAAAAUGAAUUUUGUUUCUUAGUACUUUUCUGAUAUUUAUGCUUCCACCCAAUAGCAUAAAAUAAUUGAAUAUAUUUGAACUUCCCAUCUACUUUUGUGUCUCCUUUUAUAGUUCUGCUUAGCUUCUUGGGUUUCUGGACAUGGUGUGUCUUUGUCUUUUUGCCAGAAACCUGAAAAUGUCCUAAUAGAACGUUCCCGUGUUGAGUCAUAGUAAAUUCGGUUUGUCCAACUUCUAAGACUCAGUGUGUUACACUUGUCAGUGACCAUGUCCUUCUAUGUUCUGAGAAAGCAGACAAGUUAGUGAAGACGUUUUGAAGAACUUGAGCUAUGGACUUCUACUUCCUGAGUUCAAAUACAGGCUUCUCUGCUUACCAUUUGCAUGCCCUUGGACAAGUUAUUUGACUUCCCAAUGCUUCAGUCUCUGUCAAAUGGAGACUAUAAUGCUACUUACCUUAUAGAUAGUUACGAGAAUUGUGUGAGAAAAUUCAUGAAAAGCUCUUACAAUACUGCUUGUUAUGUACUCACUGUACUCUUGAUGUAAUGGUAUCUAAUUGAAUUUUCAAAGUACAUUUUAAAGUCUAUUUCUUCCUUAGUCUUCACAACCACCCUGUGCAGAAGGAAGUGCUAUUUAACUGUGUUUUAUAGGGGAAGUCACAGAGGCACAGUGUUAGUACCUAACUUUGUUACUGGUAACAGAGUUUGGAUUAUAAUCUGACUCUUUCCUCUAAUUUGUUAUACUUGACUAUAAAUUGAAUUGUUAGGAAGUUGGCUUGAUUUUGUGAUGUUAUAAGCUAGAAAGUGUAGAUGGGAAGGGCAAAACUCCCUAUUCCUUUUUUAAAAAAAAAUUAUUUACUUAGAGCUGGGGAGGAGCAGGGAGAGGGAGAGCGAGAGAAUACCAAGCAGGCUCCACAAACCCAGCCUGGAGUCCUUUGUGGGGCUUGAACUCACCAACUGUGAGAUCAUGACCUGAGUUGAAAUCUAGGGUCAGAUGCUUAACUGUUUGAGCUACCCAGGUGCCCCCCAUUCCUGUUUCUUUUUUUAAAUGUCCACCUGUCAAGACAGAGCCCUGAUGUGGGGUUCAAACCCAGGAAAUGUGAGAUCAUGACCUGAGCUGAAAUCAAGAAUCAGAUGCUUAACUAACUGAGCUACCUAUGCGCCCCUAAAUUCUUACUCCUUAAAUUUCACCCAGUGGUGAGCCAGUUCAUUACUACUAAAAUUAUUUACUUACUUAUUAAAUAUAAAUAAUUCUUAGUUUUUACAGCCCCCAUAUGCACAGUUUUCAGUUAUUACGUUAAUUAAAUAACACCAGUUUCCCAAAAAGUUUAGAUUUCAUUUAUUAUGUUAACCAUGAAUAAUUGUAAAAAGUCCAACUAGCACACCUUGUUAUAUGGCCCUGAAAAGACAGCAAAGCAUGUAGAUGUGUUGCUUUCUUGUCUCUGGGAGAAAAACCUGCAUAGCAUCUUCUAAAAUUGGAUAAUGCAAAGAGAGAAUUGUCCGACAAAGACCAAAGUUGCAUCAAAGAAAUGAAAACUGAUAACACUGGAAAUGAAAUUGAGCCAAUUGUAAAGAGAGUUCUGGAAAAAUAGCUGACCACAGGAAUAUCAACUCUGCCACUGUUGUAGAUACUCUGUAUAUGCAGCCAGAGGAGCUUAGUGAAAGGUAACUUAUCACAAAUUAAGAAGGUGUUAUAGCUAAAAGGAUGAAGACCUAACAGAGGAAAGGAUGCUGGCAAAAAAAUUCAUGUUAAAAGGAACUCCUCAGAGGGAUACUGCCAGAGAGAGGAAGCACAAAGGAUAAAAUGUUGGGAGCUAACCCAAACUUAGGAGGAUACCAAUUCACCGAGGUAUGCAAAAGAUGCUCAUUUGGUGUUUUAAGUUACAAAGUGAGAAGAAGACAGUACAAACAACUCUUGAUUUUUUUUUUAAUAAAGGAAGAAAAUACUUGAAUUCUCAAAGUUUUGAUUAUUUUAAAUUACAAUACACUAAAUAUUUUCUCAUUUUCGUGUGUGUCUGUGUAUGUGUGUGUGUCUUUAUAAUUGAUAGUUUUUAAUGUUUUGACCCCCCAAAAACGUUAGAGGUCCUAGAAAAAUCAUAUUUUUCCUGUUGAUUAUUAAGAUUGCUUUGUGUGGUUUCAGCUUGCAUGGUUAUUUCUAUGGUUGUGCAGCAAAAGCUGCCUAUAUUUAUUGAACCAAGGGGCACCCUUAUAAGUGGUGAUACAGUGAUGCCUUAUGAAACAAGUAUUCCAAUACAGAUUUGGAGUGUCUCCCAUGUGCCAGGCUGCAUAUACACAUGUAAAUAAAAAGUAGCCCUAUUUUCCAAAGAAUAGGGCUUUCAGUUGAUUGAUGAAAGACAAGAUUAUUACAUCACAACAUAUACCUAUAAUAUAUAUAGUACAUUUCUUUGAAUGCAGUAAUAGGGAAAUAUCAGGCAUUAUGAGAGCCUAGAGGAAGGGCAUCCAGCUUAUUAGUUUGGGAAUUUGACGGGUGGUAGAGGCAGGGAGACAGCCUGGAGGGCUUAGGAGUUAAUUUGGAAAAGCUGUUUUGAAGAGUAAGACAGUGAUGAGAAGCUUGUGUAUGGAAAGUGCAGGACAUUUUAAAAAGUUGAUUUUUGCUGGAAUGUGGAGGGCAAGAUGAGACAGAUCAACAGUGCCAUGGAACUUGUAGGCAGUGGGAACUUGUAGGCAGUGGGAGAGUCCAUGGGGUUUUCCCCAAUUUCUUUUAUAUUAAGGUAUAAUUUAUACAGAGUAAAAUGGACCAUUUUAGUAUGUAGUUUGGUCUGUUUGCUCUAAAUCCUGUAACCACCACCAGAGUCAAGAUGAAGAACAUUGAUAUCACCUCCUAAAAUCCUCAGUGCUCUUGAGUGACUAACCCCUCCUCUCACCCCCAGCCCUGGCAACCACUGAUCUGCGUUCUGCCCCUAUGGAGUUACACCUUUUCCAGAAUGUCAUAUCAAUGGAAUUAUAUAGUAUAUAAACUUUUAGGUCUGGCUUCUUUCUUUUGGUGUAAUGCUGUUGAGAUUCACUCAUGUUGUUGCAUGUAAAAGCCUUUGGGUUAUAAGCAGGAAAAUUAUCUGAGAUUUGAUUGGAGGGUGAAUUUGAGAGGACCAAGAGUAGAGGCUGUUACUCUAAUUUAGCCAGGUGCUAAUGGAGGAGACUUGCAAAGGUAGGGCUUGGUUUGACAAGUAUGUGGGAGGUGGAGUUGGUCUCAACUGAGGUAGGGAGUAUAAGAGUGACAACAGGUGGGGAAGUGAAGACCCUGUAUGUUGGAUGUGUUGAGUGUGGGAUUACCUUGAGGUGAAGCCUAUCAGGAGGUGGGCAUGAAAGGAGUUGAUUUCUUUAAAUUCUUAUCCUUGUGUCUUGCCAGAAUCUAAUUUGCUAAGCAUUGACCUUGCUUGAUAUGUAGGGCUUCCUUUUCUCUUCAUCCCAUCACAUCAUCAUCAAGAAUUUACUCCCAAGGCCUUGUUUUGGCUUAUUGAACUAUCGGUGAAUAAACUUGUCAUGUUUUAGAAGAAUGCCUCCACCAUAUAGUAUCAGAUAACUGCAUUCAUCUCACUUACCCAUUGUUUUCCAUAGAUAGCAGUUUAAAUGUUUCUGCAAAAGCUGUGGUCCCUGGAGCUGUAAACCAUUGUUCUGUAGUCUUGAACCAGCUAUAGGUAGGGGAUUGUCUUGUUCCUUUUUCCACCAAAAGGGGUUCUCUGUUUUUGGAGGGUAGUACGUUUGAACAGUAUGGGAUGGAAGUGUAGUGAUAAAUGAACACAGUAUUAUCUAAAUUUAAGAUGUGGCUGUGACUGACUCAUUUUCUGUGUACUCUCUAAUUCAGUGAAGGUCCUCAGGCUGCAUCCAGGCUAAUGGGAGAAUUCUCUGCUUGAUUAAUGUCUAUCUCUGGUCUAGGAAGAAAAGCACCCCAGGAAGCGGUGGGCAGUGUAUUUGCUCCUCUGAUGAAUAAGGAAAGGUGAUUUACCAUACAAAGGCCUAUACCCAAAAGGUAUUGGAUACAAAAUUGGCUCACAGCCAUAAUUACAACUAACACAGCAUUUCAUAGUCAGGACAGCUCCAAGAGGUAGAGAGUAUUUAGAUUUUCAUCUCUUACAAAUGGGAAACUGAAGUCUAGAGAGGUAAGAUAACUUUCCCAGAGUCAGACAGCUGGUUGGGGUAGAGUUGGAAUGCAGAUCCAGGCAGUGUAGCUCAAGAGUGCACACUCUUCUGUGUACACCAUGCUGUCCUUAGAAUUCUAGAAUGCUAUCAUGGGAGGGAGUCACAUGAUUAUUUUAUUGUUUUUAAUGUUUGUUUUUGAGAGACAGAGUGAGAGCAGGGGAAGAGCAGAGAGAGAGGCAUACACACGCACAGAAUCUGAAGCAGGCUCCAGGCACUGAGCUGUAUGCAUAGAGCCCGAUGCAGGGCUCAAACCCACACACCAGGAGAUCAUGAUCUGAGCCGACGUCGGAUGUUUAACUGACUGAGCCACCCAGGCACCCCAUCACACGAUUAUUUUUUUUUCCUCACUCUUAAAUUUACAGUUAAGAGCAAGGAAGUCUAGAGAGGCUCUGAUGACUCACUCAGGAUCAUACAGCAAUGGUGGAGGCAGAGCUAGUUACAGGGUUCUUGCCACUCUUGUAAAUUUUAUACCUUUGCCUUGGUUGCUUGUCAGUCUCAUAUCUGUGAAGAAUAACAUCCAAGUGGGCAGACUGGCAAAAUUGGUGUUUAAUUCCAUCCUUUUCCUUGGCCUCCACUCUCUCUUGCCUGGAAAUGUACUAAUUGGCUGUCUUACCAUCCCCACUGUUACUUUAUUAUUCCCAAGGGAGCCUGGAAUCACCAUUACUGUUCUCUAGCCUGUCCUAUUUGAUCCUUGUCCGAUCUUUGCUCUUUCCAGUCUCUUUCCAGUAGCAGUGGCAGAGGGAGAAGCUGUCCAGCCAGCUGGAUGAGAGUUGGGUUUGGGAUGGGGGAGGACGUGGGGACUCUGUGGGAUUGGGAUUAUUACACUACAGAUCAAAGACCUUCCCUUAGGGGUGCUGACCUUUGUGAUUUUGCUCUUCCUGCUCCACCUAUGCCUACCAGAGUUUACCCCUCCACAUCUGGUGUAGGGCAUCUCCCCCUUUGCAGUUGGAAUUCAGAGCUGGAGAGACAGUACCAUUGAAUUUGCUUGCCCCAGGCACUUAACUCACAUAGAACAGGGCAUCUGGGACAGAGAAGGGAGCUUUUGCCUUAACAGUUUACAUUUCAUAUUUGUUUUAAUUUUGAGGAGCCACAUUUGGGGGAAUAAAUUAAUUUUCUUUAACAUUUAUUAAUCUUCUUUUACAAAAAGUCCCUCAUGUAAGCUUAUUCAAAUAGAGACUGUGUUUUUCUUCUGUUUCCCCCUUUUUCCCUCCUUUCCUCCCUCCCUCCCUUGUAUAGUGGUCUUUGUAUGUAAAAAUUUAACUCCUGAUCUAGUCUUUUCCACCUAAUGCAAUAUUAAUGCAUUAUGGUCACUAUUCUCCAGUGAGUUACUCUUUCUCCACAUUCUCUAUAAUUAAAAAUGUCUUUCUCAGUUUCAACUCAAAAUACCUGAAAAGACUCCUUGUUUACUUAAGAGAAGGCAAAUUUCCCCAGGUAAGUUGCCAUAUGUUUUCUGUAAAAACUGGCACACACUUUCUUUGUAUUUUACCCCUGUCCAAUGAGACCUUUGUAGGGGUAAUCAGCCAGUCUAAGCCACUCAUCUCUUUUUGCUUACAUUUUCUUGGGCAAUUUUAACUCUUUUAGUGCUAUCCAGGAAAGUCUGCUUCUUCCUAUCACAACAGAAGUUGCCCACCUUCUUUUGAGAUUGUCCACCUUCUUUUCAGUUUCCUCAGAUGGCCAUUGAGCUCCAGGACUGUUCCUCUGAAUAAAGCCAUGUGCACAGAGGCAAGUUGCCCUUCAAGACCCUGGGAAGGGCCCCAGCGCAUGUGUUCACAUGGUCAUUUCUUUUUGUGAAGUUUGCAUGUAUUUUUGCAUGCUUUUUCUUUAAGAGCAUAUAAGCUUUAGUAAGAGCUUCUAUCACUUUAAUUAGUCACCUGAUCCAAUUACUUUCUGUGUGGCCUUCCAGUUCUUUUUUUAAUUUUUCUAAUUUCUGAUCUCUGAAGAUAGGGAACAAUUAUUCAUCCACAGUGUCAAUCAGGAGGUAAAGACCCCAACAGAAACUUUGCCAGAGGGAUACUUUAAGGCUUAGACAGUCUAGUCUUAUGUUGCAGUGGACUUACAUUUACUUAGUAGAGAGUUGUGUUUGGUAAAGGCGAAUUUAAGGUUCUAGUUCUUUCUCUAAUACACAAGCACAUUCCCGUUUCAAGAAAAUAAAUUGGAAGCUGUCUCUGAAAUGCACUGUUAUGUCAGCAUGUACACAGGAACCUUAACCAACCUCUACAAGUGACCAUCGUUCUCCUGGUCUCUCAGGAGACCAGGCCCAAAUACCUGAGAGAUCAUUUUCUUCCUGUUUGUUCACCCACUCCAUUUGCCACCAAAUCCUGAAGGCAGUUGUUUUAGUUUGCUUUGUCUCUUAGAACUGUCCCUUCUUUA